RNAcentral lists this ribosomal RNA (250 nucleotides) under uncultured bacterium. RNAcentral's name for it is "partial 16S ribosomal RNA". It matches the Rfam family "Bacterial small subunit ribosomal RNA", at positions 523 to 769 of the family's 1533-position model. The record is from RNAcentral.
AUACGAAGGGGGCUAGCGUUGCUCGGGAAUGACUGGGCGUAAAGGGCGUGUAGGCGGUUUGUACAGUCAGAUGUGAAAAUCCCCGGGCGUUAACCUGGGAGCUGCAUUUGAGACGUGCAGACUAGAGUGUGAGAGAGGGUUGUGGAAUUCCCAGUGUAGAGGUGAAAUUCGUAGAUAUUGGGAAGAACACCGGUGGCGAAGGCGGCAACCUGGCUCAUUACUGACGCUGAGGCGCGAAAGCGUGGGGAGC